AACGAACGCUGGCCGCAUGCCUAACACAUACAAGUCGAACGAGCCCUUCGGGUCUAGUGGCGCACGGGUGCGUAACUCGUCUUAACCUGCCCUUAGGUUCUGAAUAACUCCCCGAAAGGGCUUCUAAUACCGGAUAAUGUCUUCGUACCAAAGAUUUAUCGCCUUUGGAUGGGCCCGCGUUUUCUUAGCUAGUUGGUAGGGUAAAAGCCUACCAAGGCGACGAUCCAUAGCUGCUCUUAGAGGAUGAUCAGCCACACUGGGACUGAGACACGACCCAGACUCAUACGGGAGGCAGUAGUGGGGAAUAUUGGACAAUGGGAGAAAGCCUGAGCCAGCAAGGCCGCGUGAGUGAUGAAGGCCUUAGGGUUGGAAAGCUCUUUUAACCGGGAUGAUAAUGACAGUACCGGGAGAAGAAGCUCCGGCUAAAUCCGUG
RNAcentral lists this ribosomal RNA (433 nucleotides) under uncultured bacterium. RNAcentral's name for it is "partial 16S ribosomal RNA". It matches the Rfam family "Bacterial small subunit ribosomal RNA", at positions 29 to 507 of the family's 1533-position model. The record is from RNAcentral.